This 1167-nucleotide ribosomal RNA is filed under the name uncultured organism. RNAcentral describes it as "bacterial SSU rRNA". It matches the Rfam family "Bacterial small subunit ribosomal RNA", at positions 191 to 1368 of the family's 1533-position model. The record is from RNAcentral.
CUCACUUCAGAUUAAGCUACGGCGGUAAAGAUGGGCAUGCGUAACAUACUAGUGGUGAGGUAAGGCUCACAAGGCGACGAUGUUUAGGGGUCCUGAGAGGGUUAUCCCCCACACUGGUACUGAGACACGGACCAGACUCCUACGGGAGGCAGCAGUGAGGAAUAUUGGUCAAUGGGCGCAAGCCUGAACCAGCCAUCCCGCGUGCAGGAAGACGGCCCUAUGGGUUGUAAACUGCUUUUCUGAGGGAAGAAUAACGCUGAUUCGUUCAGUGGACGACGGUACCUCAGGAAUAAGCAUCGGCUAACUCCGUGCCAGCAGCCGCGGUAAUACGGAGGAUGCAAGCGUUAUCCGGAUUCAUUGGGUUUAAAGGGUGCGUAGGCGGACUGGUAAGUCAGUGGUGAAAUCCUGCAGCUUAACUGUGGAAUUGCCAUUGAAACUGUCAGUCUUGAGUCAGGUUGAGGUAGGCGGAAUGUGUAAUGUAGCGGUGAAAUGCAUAGAUAUUACACAGAACACCGAUUGCGUAGGCAGCUUACUGGACCUGCACUGACGCUGAGGCACGAAAGCGUGGGGAUCAAACAGGAUUAGAUACCCUGGUAGUCCACGCCGUAAACUAUGAUUACUCGUUGUUGGCAAUACAUCGUCAGCGACCAAGCGAAAGCGAUAAGUAAUCCACCUGGGGAGUACGCUCGCAAGAGUGAAACUCAAAGGAAUUGACGGGGGCCCGCACAAGCGGUGGAACAUGUGGUUUAAUUCGAUGAUACGCGAGGAACCUUACCUGGGCUUAAAUGUAGACUGCAUAGCGUGGAAACAUGCUUUUCUUUUAGACUGUUUACAAGGUGCUGCAUGGUUGUCGUCAGCUCGUGCCGUGAGGUGUCGGGUUAAGUCCCAUAACGAGCGCAACCCUUAUCGUUAGUUGCCAUCGGGUAAAGCCGGGGACUCUAGCGAAACUGCCACCGUAAGGUGAGAGGAAGGUGGGGAUGACGUCAAAUCAGCACGGCCCUUAUGUCCAGGGCUACACACGUGUUACAAUGGUUAGAACAAAGGGCAGCUACCUGGUGACAGGAUGCUAAUCUCUAAAUCUGGCCGAAGUUCGGAUCGGAGUCUGCAACUCGAUUCCGUGAAGCUGGAAUCGCUAGUAAUCGCGCAUCAGCCGUGGCGCGGUGAAUA